UGGUACUUGUACCGACUGGAUGAGCAGCGAACGGGUGAGUAACGCGUGGGGAAUCUGCCUUUGAGCGGGGGACAACAUUUGGAAACGAAUGCUAAUACCGCAUAAAAACUUUAAACACAAGUUUUAAGUUUGAAAGAUGCAAUUGCAUCACUCAAAGAUGAUCCCGCGUUGUAUUAGCUAGUUGGUGAGGUAAAGGCUCACCAAGGCGAUGAUACAUAGCCGACCUGAGAGGGUGAUCGGCCACAUUGGGACUGAGACACGGCCCAAACUCCUACGGGAGGCAGCAGUAGGGAAUCUUCGGCAAUGGACGAAAGUCUGACCGAGCAACGCCGCGUGAGUGAAGAAGGUUUUCGGAUCGUAAAACUCUGUUGGUAGAGAAGAACGUUGGUGAGAGUGGAAAGCUCAUCAAGUGACGGUAACUACCCAGAAAGGGACGGCUAACUACGUGCCAGCAGCCGCGGUAAUACGUAGGUCCCGAGCGUUGUCCGGAUUUAUUGGGCGUAAAGCGAGCGCAGGUGGUUUAUUAAGUCUGGUGUAAAAGGCAGUGGCUCAACCAUUGUAUGCAUUGGAAACUGGUAGACUUGAGUGCAGGAGAGGAGAGUGGAAUUCCAUGGGUUAGCG
Molecule: ribosomal RNA, 621 nt
Filed under: Lactococcus lactis
Lineage: Bacteria; Bacillati; Bacillota; Bacilli; Lactobacillales; Streptococcaceae
Description: bacterial SSU rRNA
Rfam family: Bacterial small subunit ribosomal RNA
Source: RNAcentral